This 211-nucleotide ribosomal RNA is filed under the name uncultured bacterium. RNAcentral's name for it is "partial 16S ribosomal RNA". It matches the Rfam family "Bacterial small subunit ribosomal RNA", at positions 1290 to 1500 of the family's 1533-position model. The record is from RNAcentral.
AGUUCGGAUUGCAGGCUGCAACCCGCCUGCAUGAAGUUGGAAUCGCUAGUAAUCGCGGAUCAGCAUGCCGCGGUGAAUACGUUCCCGGGCCUUGUACACACCGCCCGUCACACCAUGAGAGUCGGGAACACCCGAAGUCCGUAGUCUGACCGCAAGGGGGACGCGGCCGAAGGUGGGUUCGAUAAUUGGGGUGAAGUCGUAACAAGGUACC